UUUUAACAAAUGGGUAACUGCUCCCGCGGCAGCGAGAGCGUGAGAGAGAGCUCGGCAGGAAAUAGCUGAACAAGUCAAUGCGAACAACCCGAGUUGCCCCAAGAGGACUUGGCAGCAAAUGAAGAUGAAGUACAAAAAUAUAGUUCAAACAGCAAAUCGAAAAAAAGCAGAGCCCCGGCAGACUGGAGGGGGUCCACCUCUGCAGCCCUCACAGAGGCUGAGGAGAUGGCCCUCAGCCAACAGAGUAUGCGUCCUGUGGCUGAGGGCAUCCCUGGGGGGAGCUCCUCUGAUCCCCCCCACCCCCCAGGAUAGAAGUGCCUUUAUAAGAGGUUGGUUAUUCAAAAUAAUUAAAUAUGUACACGCAACCCGGCGCGUUGCAAAUUAGAUGGGGCAAUAUUCUGGCUCAAGUAAUAAUUUCACUGUCUAAUCAUCUUCUUCCAGUUACUGAUGGCGUCAUCGCCCUACUUGAACCAGAUGCCCUCACCAACCUCCAUGCAAUUGUAACAA
Gadus macrocephalus (Pacific cod) is the source of this 507-nucleotide long non-coding RNA. RefSeq lists it as uncharacterized. The record is from RefSeq and is a predicted model, not a curated record. The transcript has 3 exons. NCBI's taxonomy places the organism in Eukaryota, Metazoa, Chordata, Actinopteri, Gadiformes, Gadidae.